AGAAGUUCUAAUGAUCAGAAGUCAUUUCAGUUUAUAUACGUUUUUAGAAAUUGGAAGUUUUCCUUCUGAUCUGAUCCAUUUUUACCCUCUAUGUUUGCAGUCAUAUUACCAGUUCCUCAAACACAAAUUUAAAGCAGAGCUGCACCUCUGUCUUCUGAUGAGCAAGGGGAAUGAUGCUGUCUCAAGAAACUACAGGAUUCUGACCCAGAUCUAUGUUAGGGAAUUUGUUGCCAUUGAAGAUACAUCCUCAUUUGAAUGCCUUGGGUAUUCAUUGUAAUGUGUACUCAUUGAUACCUUGGAAAUGACCAGAUACCUUGAUUGUCAAAGCUGUAUGAUGUCUGUCUGGUGAGCUUUUGAAUUCAGUGUCUUGUGCUUUAUGUUUCCAUGCAUUCAAGUUGAACCUGAAUAGAGUAUAAUUAAACCAGGAGUUGGACUUUCAGGCCCUUGACACAUGCUCUGUGAUUCUCAAGAAUUGCUUGAAUUGUACAUUUAAAA
Molecule: long non-coding RNA, 495 nt
Organism: Cyprinus carpio (common carp)
Lineage: Eukaryota; Metazoa; Chordata; Actinopteri; Cypriniformes; Cyprinidae
Source: Ensembl